Molecule: long non-coding RNA, 1690 nt
Organism: Grus americana (Whooping crane)
Lineage: Eukaryota; Metazoa; Chordata; Aves; Gruiformes; Gruidae
Exons: 2
Source: RefSeq, a predicted model, not a curated record
GUAACUUUGAGGGGUGAAGAAAGGUAUGUCAGGGAGUUAAUAUGAAAAGAGAGGCUGCAGGAGAGAACUGUAAUUCAGGAAAAUACAACUCCAAGAGGAAAAUGCAGGCUAGCAGGAUUUCUUUUUCUUUUUUUCUUUUUUCUUUUUCCCCAGAAGACCAUGUUUGUGAGUAGAGAUUCAGAUCUGAAAGUUUUGUCAGUGUGGUAAAAAGUUGUAUGCUUUGUGUCUGCCACCAUUACGCUGAAAUGCCAAAGCGAACUGGGCGUACUUAAAAGACUUCAGCUGCUGGUGAUGAAAAGAAAGGUGGCCGCACAUUCCCUGCUACUACUUCACAAGGCUGGAAGUAGUUCUGCUUUUCUGAAUAGGUGUCCCUGGACAGAUCCGUUGCUUCCUGUGGAAACUUUGGACCCCUGGAUCCUGUGGAAACCCUAGAUCCAGAACUAUCUUCAGUACUUGUCCAAUAAGCAAUGCAAGAAGCCAUUCUGUUAAAUAUACUCGCUGCAGUAUAAGACACUGUGUUUCUACUUCUGGAGGUGGUGUUGAGAGGCUGCUUAAAAGUUGCUAGAACAAAUACCUUGGAUAGUGUCUGAUGAAAAAAAAUCUCACUAUUUCCUAAGAUAUAAUUUAGUGUGAACUCAAGAAGAUUUUUGUUGAAUCAUCAUUUAGCCCUGCUUUAUACCUAAAUACCGGAGAGAAGUAAAGAGGUUUUUAGUCUUAGCAUGUGUUGUCUGGACUCUGACUUCAGGAACCUAGAAGAAUCUGUAAGAUCCUCUGAAUAGUCUCUCUUGACUCUACAGAUCACAGAUUUAAGCUACUGCUCUACAUUUGUGAGGCAACUUGCAAUCUGCUGAGCAUGCCAGGUAGCUCCAAGUAGGCAAUUGCUGAGGACUGGUAGGAGGAGAAAAAUGUGUGUAGUGUCUGAGAGUAGGACAUAGAUGAUUUUCUGUCAAGGGCGAGAAAAGUACAUACAGAGAAUGAUGGAACUUCUUUAAAAAGAACCCCUAAAUCCUUAAGUAUCCCUAAAAGAACCCAAAAAUCUCUAGAGUAUGUAAUCCCUUGAAGACUAUAAACAGGCUCUCUUUUCUUUUAAAAUGCCAGUCUGAUGCACUACAGAUGUGCAUAUGGUCGAAGCCUUUCCACAAAGCCUUUUUCAGUAAUCUGAUGAUUCACGAAUUUGGAACGCUGAAUGAUACGGUAAACUAGAAGGAUAUGGGCUUCAGAUCAAUGAGUAGGAGUAGAGAUCCUUACUCAAGGAUUGCUGCCCUUAAGGAUGUAGAUACCUCUCUACUGACCUGAUGGACAUCUUUAUAUAAGAUUGUAACUUAAAGUAAAAACUUAUUUUUGAGAUUAGUUGUGUAAAUCACUUUUUGUUGUUGUUGUAUCAAACUUAAUAGAUAAAUGCGAAAGUUUUAAGAACUGGUUUUAUUACCUAUCUAUCAUUAAAAUUUCAGAAAAAAGCUUUUAAUUCCAUUCUGGAUGGAAGACAGAUUUUUAACAAUCAGAAUUUUGCAAAAUGCAAUUCUGAGUUUCAGCUACAAAUACAGAUAUGGUCAAUUUUGUGAUUUCCUUGGUUACAGUGUUCUCUUAUGAAUUUUGAGUAGAUAGUGAAUGGCCUGGAUAUCAUGAUAAGGAGCAGCAGUGUAAAAUCAUUAAGACAAAUGUAUAAAAUUAAAGCAUUUUAUGAUAUUCA